UCAUUUUAUAGACGAAAUCUAAAAAUGAAUCUGUAAAAUCACACCUGUAUUAGUCACUCACAUCUAUAAAUAUUAAAAUAUUUUGUAACUUUAUAAGAUGAAGUAAUUUAAGGUAAUGAAUAUCCGUCUUCGGUAAAAUAGAAAAAAAUCGUUAGAAUUUUAUACAUGUACUUGUAUAAAGUUUUAUGUGAUCAUAUCAAUGGGAGAUUUGAAAACGCUAACAGUUGAGAAUUUGUGUAAAGAAUGUGACUGUGACAAACCAGUAGAAUGGGUCUGUCUAGAAUGUAACAUUCCGGUCCAUGAUUUCUGUAUUGCUGCACACAUCAACAGACAGCCAUCAUUGACGCAUAGUGUUAUUCCAAACUUUGACGCCCUCACACAAGGACGUGUGCUUGGAACGAAAACAGUCACAAAGCCUCGUGUUGACAAAAUCAUAGUAUGUGGCCCUGGAAUUGAACCAAUUGGACUUGUCGGAGAAUUCGACAGCAUAUUUAAUAUAGAAACGUAUGGUGCAGGUCACGGCCAUCUGAAUAUACAGAUAGUUGGACCGAAAGGUACACCAAAGACCAACAGCCCUAUAAGUAAAAUACAAAGAUCUAAUUGAUAGUUUAAAUAUAAACCAGAAAAGGAACAGAUAGUCCCGUAUUGGAUCAAUAUCGUCUAGUUUAAUUACUUAGAUAAAUAUUUGACCGAUAUAAUGCAAUUUAGUCCCAGUAUACAUGACAAAACUAAUACACUAAAAAUUAACUUUCGGGACAUUGAUCAAUGUUACUUUCAGUUUCAAAACAUUAACAAAGGAGCCGUUCUUUUACUUUUCGUUAUUUGUCAAUAUGUGUAGUCAUUCUGUUUCAUCCCUUCUAUUCCGUUAUGUAAGUAAACCUAUAAAGUAUAGAUUAUUAUAUUGGAAUACAAAUUAAUACAUUUAAGAUAUGUAAAACCGAUCAUAUGAUAGAAUUUAUAUCUUAUAUAAA
This is an RNA transcript of Mytilus californianus (California mussel), 971 nucleotides long. It is a transcript of the gene named filamin-A-like, with no coding region annotated. The transcript is spliced from 3 exons. The record is from RefSeq and is a predicted model, not a curated record. Lineage: Eukaryota; Metazoa; Mollusca; Bivalvia; Mytilida; Mytilidae.